UACGGAGGGAGCUAGCGUUGUUCGGAAUUACUGGGCGUAAAGCGCGCGUAGGCGGCUUUGUAAGUUAGAUGUGAAAGCCCUGGGCUCAACCUGGGAAUGGCAUUGGAAACUGGCGACCUAGAGUGCGGUAGAGGGUAGUGGAAUUCCCGGUGUAGCAGUGAAAUGCGUAGAGAUCGGGAGGAACAUCCGUGGCGAAGGCGACUACCUGGACCAGCACUGACACUGAGGCACGAAAGCGUGGGGAGCAAACAGG
Molecule: ribosomal RNA, 253 nt
Filed under: uncultured bacterium
Lineage: Bacteria
Description: partial 16S ribosomal RNA
Rfam family: Bacterial small subunit ribosomal RNA
Source: RNAcentral